AUAACAUCAAAGAAACCUUUACACUUACCUGAGGCAGCUUGUUCGCCGCAUCUACCAUGUGAGAGCACAGAGAGAAAAUGCUAUCCAAUGGACCCUCGCCAGACACCAAAUCUGCCGGCACCUUGACCUUGGACUUAUCAGCCUACAGAAACAUGCAACACAGAAUAUACAGUUUGAUGUGAGAAAAAACAUGCAACACUUCUAAGGAAGUAAAAUUUAAAUGCAGAAUGAGCAUCUGAAAAAAAUUAUUAGUUUGACAGAUUCAGUACUUUUCUGCUAGCUGAAAUCAAGGACGGCAAGAAGCAGAGGACAUUUGACAGGAAAAGAAAUCCCACUCAACCCCCAAAGAGCCUUUCUCUGUAAUCAAAUACAAAGCCACUGGGAUUCAUGAGAAUGUACUAUGUGCAUAAUGAGCAUCCUGAACAUAAAUUUAUCGGUGGACAUACUCCCAAAUCAAGUAACAAACAAAACUAUGAGGCAAAUUUCUAUCGAAAGGAAGAAACAAUGAAAAGAGAAGAGAGAAAAGAGGAGAAAAAUGUGAAAUUGUCAUAAAAAGAAGUAUUGGGUGCAGUGGCUCAUGCCUGUAAUUCCAGCAGUUUGGGAGGCCAAUGUGGACAGAUCACCUGAGGUCAGAAGUUCAAGACCAGCCUGACCAACAUGGAGAAACCCCAUCUCUACAAAAAAUACAAAAUUAGCCAGGCAUGGUGGCGCGUGCCUGUAAUCCCAGCUACUCAGGAAGCUGAUGCAGGAGAAUCACUUGAACCCAGAAGGCGGAGGUCGUGGUGAGCUGAGAUCACGCCAUUGCACUCCAGCCUGGGCAACAAGAGCGAUACUCAGUCUCAAAAAAAAGAAAAAAAAAGAAAAAAAAGUAUCAUAUAUUUAGCCUUUUGUUAUCUGAUUCUUCUUACUUUGUAUAUGGUCACUAAGGAAGAAGGACAUCAUGAAAGACUUUGGGAAACUUAACCAACUUUUGGAUGUAGCUCAUGAGAAGAAAAGUACAGGAAAUUUUGACACAUUUAAAUGAAAGUGAUAAUAAAUUUUCCUGGUUCUCACGCAUUUUCUAAUUAACAAUUUCCUGCUUUUCUGAUAAUUAAACUCAUCAAAUGAUAUAAAUUAAUCAGAGUACUUACUAAGUCAAAUUGCCUUAAAUUAUCACAUUUUCUCCAAAAAAAAUUGUUUUUAUUUUUGCCCAACCAAAAUUAAGCUCAUUGAAACUAAAAGUGCAGUUAUUUUAAGGACCAGCUCUUCCAGAUACAUACUUU
Molecule: long non-coding RNA, 1262 nt
Filed under: Homo sapiens (human)
Lineage: Eukaryota; Metazoa; Chordata; Mammalia; Primates; Hominidae
Description: HSALNT0046892
Source: RNAcentral